GAUGAACGCUGGCGGCGUGCUUAAUACAUGCAAGUCGAACGAACAGACCAGGAUCUUUCUGCUCUGGCGUUGGCGCCGGACGGGGGAGUACCCCGUAGUUACCCGCCCUAUAAGACUGGGAAACCUUCUGGAAACGGGGCCUAUUACCGGUUGUUCUAUUGAUCCGCAUGGGUCGAUAGUGAUAGACGGAUUUUCUUUCGCUUAUAGAUGGAUCCGGGCCGCGUUGGCUAUCUGGUAUGGUAACGGCUUACCAAGGCAAAGAUGCGUAGCCGAUCGGCGAGGGGGAUCGGCCACACUGGAACUGAGACACGGUCCAGACCACUACGCGAGGCAGGGGUGGGGAAUCGUCCACAGUAGGCGGAAGGCUGACGUAGCAACGCCGCGUGAGGGAUGAAAGUGUUCGGAUCGUGAUGCUCUGCUAUGAGGGAGGAACAAAUGUGUAAGUAACUAUGCACGGCUUGACGGUACCCGAGCAUAAAGCCCCGGCUAACUACGUG
This 497-nucleotide ribosomal RNA is filed under the name uncultured bacterium. Its description in RNAcentral is "partial 16S ribosomal RNA". It matches the Rfam family "Bacterial small subunit ribosomal RNA", at positions 28 to 507 of the family's 1533-position model. The record is from RNAcentral.